AUAAAAUUAUGGUGUUUAUUCCAUCACAAUUAGCCUAGCAUUAAUCACACAACUACUUUUUUUAUUUAAUUUUUUUCUAAAUUACUUUCAGAUAUACCAAACUGGAAUGGCUUCUUAGGGGUCUCCUAUUUUUUGAUUAAUUGACCCAUUGUUUUCAUUGUACAUAAUUUAUUACCAUGUCAUUUUCCACGAGAAGUAUUUUCAGUGUCAUACCACAGCAAUUGCUGCACAUGGCCCUAUAUCCCAAGUGUAAUUAAAAAAAGGUUUUUAUAAACAGUGUUCUUUUUAGUAACCCAUUUAAAAAGUUGACCUCCUUAUUUAGCAAUCUAUACACACGGACCUGAAAUUCAGUACAUUUACAUGUACUUUCAGGUAGGUGAGUAAUGUGUACUAAUACAGCCAAGGUAAUAAUGAAAAAUGUUAUUUCAAAGUCUUGAGUGAAUUUAUCAUGCAGUUAAUAUUUCUCCGUUAGCUUCCCUUCACAUUAAGCAUUGGAGUCUGUUUUGGAGGAUGCUUUAGUAAGACUUCAGAUAUCAUGUGCAAGAUUGUAAUAUCAAGGUAGAGUACUGGAAACACUUUUGCUUAAUGACAUCUCAGCAGACCCAGAUCUCAGACUAUUGCAUGUCUCUUAAUUCCAUGCAUACCUGUUUGAAAACCUUUACAGCUUUUUCUUUGACAUUUUGAGCUUACGUGAAGGACAAGACCAAACCAUAAGCAUUUCUAAUUUCUCUUAUAUUCCCUAAAAUGCCUCGGGACACCGAGUUGAGCCUCAAUAUAUACAUAUUUGCAUUACAUCAUGUGUUCCACCUUGUACAAUAUUACAUUUUACUAAGAUUAAUACACUGCAUUGUUUUCAACUUGUUAGCCAAAUUUGACCAGUUUUAGAAUGUGCAGAUGUUUUAUCAGAUGAGUGGCAUUCCCUAAUGCAAGUUGUCUUCAUAUAAACUGUGCGCCAAGGCAUAGUCCAUAACAUAAUAUGUUUAACCUCUAAUUCAUCUCAAGAUAUAAUUUUGAAUCUUCAAGCCGUUCAUAAGACUACACACAUUGACAGACCAUUUAUGCCAUCCUGUAUGCCUAGUAGCACUUUUUAACUUUAAAUAUUUACGUGCAAGAAUCGAGUUUGGAACAGAGAACAUUACUAUUUAAUACCAACAGGUUUUAAAGACGUAGAUCAGGGCAACAUAUGUUGACAUUUAAGAUAUACCAUAAAUAGUGUAAAUACAGGUUUCAACUCUUAAAAACCACAAAAUAAAGGAUUUUCUUCCACCUAUGAAUGUUUGGGUUAUAUUUUUAAGAUCAAUUACUUAAAAUAAAAUAAUUUAGACAUCUUCGUGAUAAAUAUUGCAAGAGACAUUCACUAAAUAUUGUGUAUAUUGCAAAUGGACAGCAUGUUUUGCCAAAGCUGCAGGCAUUGAGCCAUGGUUUGACUGGCAAACAGACAGCCAUAAUAUCCAGGUUUACAGAGCUGAUGGGGUUCAACAUAACUUUAAUCACCAACACAUAAUGGCAAAGUUUUGACCUGAACAUAAACUUAAAUUAAAAAGUCUGACAUCCCCUUAGAAUCUGAAUUUAAAAGCAUUGUAAAAAGUACUUGGCUAUUUUAGUCUUAUUAUGUUUGAUAAUUUCUAGAAAUGGUUUACAA
This 1642-nucleotide long non-coding RNA is filed under the name Pelobates cultripes (western spadefoot toad). The record is from RNAcentral. Lineage: Eukaryota; Metazoa; Chordata; Amphibia; Anura; Pelobatidae.